GGUGAAAGAGGAGACGGAGGCGUUGAGGAGAUGUGGAGGUGUUGAGAUAUGGAGGUGUUGAGAUAUGGAGGUGUUGAGGAGAUAUGGAGGUGUUGAGGAGAUAUGGAGAGAGAAUGGAAGAGGAGAUGUUGAGGAACAUGGAAGCGUUGAGGAGAUACGGAGGAGUGGAGGAGAUAUGGAGGUGUUGAGAUAUGGAGGUGUUGAGGAGAUAUGGAGGUGUUGAAGAGAUAUGGAGGUGUUGAGAUAUGGAGGUGUUGAGGAGAUAUGG
Molecule: long non-coding RNA, 268 nt
Organism: Cuculus canorus (common cuckoo)
Lineage: Eukaryota; Metazoa; Chordata; Aves; Cuculiformes; Cuculidae
Exons: 3
Source: RefSeq, a predicted model, not a curated record